Molecule: ribosomal RNA, 790 nt
Filed under: uncultured eukaryote
Lineage: Eukaryota
Description: SSU rRNA
Rfam family: Eukaryotic small subunit ribosomal RNA
Source: RNAcentral
GGAAUUAUUUGGUUGGCGGGUUAGACGCUCGUAGUCGAAUGUUUGUUCAAGCCUGACGGUCCUCCCUAGUGGUGCGUACUCAGUUCGGUCUGAGCACUUCUCUGGUGCAAGUGUUUGCAGUUAGUUCUGUUGCACUUUGUCCAGAACUUUUACUUUGAGGAAAUGAGAGUGCUUCAAGCAAAUGUAUGUUAUGAAUACGUUAGCAUGGAAUAAUCGCAUGGGACAUCAUCCUGAAUUUGUUGGUUUUUGGGUAGAUGUAAUGAAGGUGGGGAUAGUUGGGGGCAUUCGUAUUUAACUGUUAGAGGUGAAAUUCUUGGAUUUUUUAAAGAUGGACUACUGCGAAAGCAUCUGCCAAAGAUGUUUUUGUCGAUCAAGAACGAAAGUUAGGGGAUCGAAGACGAUCAGAUACCGUCCUAGUCUUAACCUUAAACUAUGCCCACUAGGGAUUGGGGUCAUCAGACUCUUGAUGUCUUCAGCAUCUUCAGAGAAAUCAAAGCCUUUGGGUUCCGGGGGGAGUAUGGUCACAAGGCUGAAACUUAAAGGAAUUGACGGAAGGGCACCACCAGGAGUGGAGCCUGCGGCUUAAUUUGACUCAACACGGGAUAACUCACCAGGUCCAGACUUAGAAAGGAUUGACAGACUGAUAGCUCUUUCUUGAUUCUAUGGGUGGUGGUGCAUGGCCGUUCUUAGUUGGUGGAGUGAUUUGUCUGGUUAAUUUCGUUAACGAACGAGACCUUAUCCUGCUAAGUAGUACUGAAAACAAUGCAGUUUGAAAGUGAUCUUCUUAGAG